UAUAAAGUUUUAUUUUAGCUUAAAAAAUUUAUUAUUAAUUUAUAUUAUAUGUAAAUUUUUGUGUGAAUUUAUAUUUAUUUAAAAAAUAAAUAUAUUAAUAUUAAAUAAAAUAUUUGCAAUAAUUAAUAUUAUAAAUUAAAGAAAUUUAGAAAUAGAAAUAUUAGAUAAUAUUGACUUAAUUUGUGCCAGCAGUUGCGGUUAUACAAAUAAUAUAAAUAAAUUUUAUUAAUAGUAGUUAAAUGAAAAUUUAAUAAAAAUAUAAUUAUAUUUAUUAAGUGAAAUUUUAAAUAUAAAUUAUUUUUAUAAAAAAUAAUAUUGAAGCUAAAAAUUUUUAAUUAAAAACUAGGAUUAGAUACCCUAUUAUUUAAAAUGUAAUUGAAUUUAUUUGAGUAGUAUUAGUUAUAUUCUUGAAACUUAAAAAAUUUGGCGGUAUUUUAGUCUAUUCAGAGGAACUUGUUUUUUAAUCGAUAAUCCACGAUGUACCUUACUUAAAAUUGUUAAUCAAUUUAUAUAUCGUUGUUAUUAGAAUAUUUUAUAAGAAUAAUAAUUUUCUAUAAUUUAAAUAAAAAUUAAUAUCAAAUCAAGGUGUAGUUUAUUUUUAAGUAUAAAUGAGUUACAAUAAAAUAUAUUUAUGGAUUUAAAUAUGAAAAAUUUAAUGAAAUUGGAUUUGAUAGUAAAAUUAUAAAGAUAAAUAAUUUGAUUUUAGCUCUAAAAUAUGUACAUAUCGCCCGUCACUCUUAUUAUUAAAAUAAGAUAAGUCGUAACAUAGUAGAUGUACUGGAAAGUGUAUCUAGAAU
RNAcentral lists this non-coding RNA (797 nucleotides) under Asarkina ericetorum. Lineage: Eukaryota; Metazoa; Arthropoda; Insecta; Diptera; Syrphidae. The record is from RNAcentral.